UUGCCGCUCGGAUUUUGCUCUUUUUUUAUUUUUUUUUAUUCUGUAGUUUCCAAAUUUGAAUUUUCCAGAAAUUUAAUUUAAUUGUUCUGAAAUCCGAUUACAAAAAUCAAAAUUUGAUUGUACUGUUAUGAGAUGAUUCAACGGUUCAUUGACAACAUCAUCGCCGUCACCAAAGACCGUCGUAGUGGUCAUCGGCUGUUGUUACAGUGGAACAA
This is a non-coding RNA of Malus domestica (apple), 215 nucleotides long. The record is from RefSeq and is a predicted model, not a curated record. Lineage: Eukaryota; Viridiplantae; Streptophyta; Magnoliopsida; Rosales; Rosaceae.